UGGGGAAUCUUGCACAAUGGGGGAAACCCUGAUGCAGCGACGCCGCGUGGAUGAUGAAGGCCCUAGGGUUGUAAAGUCCUUUCGGCGGGGAAGAUAAUGACGGUACCCGCAGAAGAAGCCCCGGCUAACUUCGUGCCAGCAGCCGCGGUAAUACGAAGGGGGCUAGCGUUGCUCGGAAUCACUGGGCGUAAAGCGCACGUAGGCGGACUCUUAAGUCGGUGGUGAAAUCCUGGAGCUCAACUCCAGAACUGCCUUCGAUACUGAGAGUCUCGAGUCCGGGAGAGGUGAGUGGAACUGCGAGUGUAGAGGUGAAAUUCGUAGAUAUUCGCAAGAACACCAGUGGCGAAGGCGGCUCACUGGCCCGGUACUGACGCUGAGGUGCGAAAGCGUGGGGAGCAAAC
This 401-nucleotide ribosomal RNA is filed under the name uncultured bacterium. RNAcentral describes it as "bacterial SSU rRNA". It matches the Rfam family "Bacterial small subunit ribosomal RNA", at positions 355 to 773 of the family's 1533-position model. The record is from RNAcentral.